AGCUAACGUUGGCGGCGUGCCUAACACAUGCAAGUCGAACGCGCCUCGGGGGGCAACUCCCGAGAUGAGUGGCAGACGGGUGAGUAACACGUGGGUCAUCUCCCCUCGAGUGUGGAAUAAGCUCCCGAAAGGGGGUCUAAUACCGCAUGACGCCUCGGGACAUAAGUUUUCGGGGCCAAAGCCGCAAGGCGCUUGAGGAUGAGCCUGCGUCCUAUUAGCUAGUUGGUAGGGUAACGGCCUACCAAAGCUACGAUGGAUAGCCGGCCUGAGAGGGUGACCGGCCACACUGGGACUGAGAUACGGCCCAGACUCCUACGGGAGGCUG
This 325-nucleotide ribosomal RNA is filed under the name uncultured Nitrospirota bacterium. Its description in RNAcentral is "bacterial SSU rRNA". It matches the Rfam family "Bacterial small subunit ribosomal RNA", at positions 29 to 351 of the family's 1533-position model. Lineage: Bacteria; Pseudomonadati; Nitrospirota. The record is from RNAcentral.